UAUAUUUUUAAGUUAUCAUCUUAGUUUGAGUUUGGCAUAUGAGGGAAUUGUGACCCAUCUAGUUGUGAGAUUGCUAUUCAUUUGGUCAGACUCUAGUCUCAUCUCACUACUGCUGGUGAUCUUUUCAUGUCUUGGGUAAUAUGAUUUCUUUGACACAUAUAAAAUAAUAAGCAACCUUUUGCCUUGGCCAGUUCAGACUGUCAUGAAGGGGUAUAGUCAGCUGUUUCUACAUAAUGGAAAUGUCCAUAGCAUUGCCCUUAUUAUUGUACUUGGUAUCAGGUUACCUGCCUUCUCUUAUUUACUUUUAUAUUAUGCUCAUCUCAAUUUUGUGUGUUGCAGUUUGUGCCCAGGAAGCUCAUCCUUUUCCAAUUCACUGUGUGUUUACUUCUUUAGUUUUCAACCAAAGUUUUGUAAUUUGUGUUGGUUUUGUCAAUUUUAAAGAAAUAAACCAUAUUCAACUUAAAGUCGAAUUUGUUAUUAAUUUUUUAUAUCCUUUAUUCUUUAGGCAGAUGAUGUUGAGGGCAAAAUUAGACAAAUCAUUCCACCUGGAUUUUGCACAAACACGAAUGAUUUCCUUUCUUUACUGGAAAAGGAAGUUGAUUUCAAGCCAUUCGGAACCUUACUUCAUACCUACUCAGUUCUCAGUCCAACAGGAGGAGAAAACUUUACCUUUCAGAUAUAUAAGGCUGACAUGACAUGUAGAGGCUUUCGAGAAUAUCAUGAAAGGCUUCAGACCUUUUUGAUGUGGUUUAUUGAAACUGCUAGCUUUAUUGACGUGGAUGAUGAAAGAUGGCACUACUUUCUAGUGUAAGUACAGUUCUAAAGCAACAGUAGACCUUAUUACCUCCACAAAGCCAGCAUUUUAAUUGUGGCAGCCCAAUUAUUGGGACAGUAUAAUGAUAUUUUUCCCAGGAAAGAAAAACUAUUGUUUAUGAGGCUUGAGUUUUCCUUCAUUAUGCUUUGGGAGACCUUGAGAAUAGAGCUGAAUUAAAUGCUGUUGUCCGUUAGGGCCCUGAAUGUAGGCUUAAACAGUAAAAUGAGCUUUGCCUGUGUUUUCUUUUACUUGCCACCUAUUCAUCUUUAUAAUAGGCAAGUGCACUGAAGUGAUGUAAAGAGGUCUGAUUUAUCCAAGUUGCUGCACACCAAUUAAGUGAAUUGUACAUUCAGAACAUAGCAGGUGUACCCAUUGGGCCCUCACAGAGUAGCUUGCUGACACUGAAAAUUCGGUCAGAGAAUGGAAAAGAAAAUGGACACUGCAUGGGAGCGCGACUGUAAUUGACCUGCUUGGCUUUCUGUUUUAUCUGCAGAUUUGAGAAGUAUAAUAAGGAUGGAGCUACGCUCUUUGCGACCGUAGGCUACAUGACAGUCUAUAAUUACUAUGUGUACCCAGACAAAACCCGGCCACGUGUAAGGUAAUUGGCAGUAUAACACGUGCCUUGUCUUUUAUUUCAGAAUAAGGAACUGCUGAAGUUUCCAAUACUUGUUAUAAUGGUGUUGAUUUGUUUAAAAAAAAAAUCACUAUUAUUCAUGGGCUAUGUACUGAUUUAUUUCAUUGUUCCCUUUGAAACACUGUAGAAGAUUAAACUAAUUUUGAGUAUCUUGAUAAUUUUUGGGUAUCUCAAAGGUGGAUUAAAAAAAAGAUCACACAAACUUUAAAGUGUUUGUAAUACUAUAGUGAUCUGCAGGUUUCAAACUGGUCAUGUUAUGAUAUUUUAAUUUUAAAAUAAUUUCUUUACUGUAGUCAGAUGCUGAUUUUGACUCCAUUUCAAGGUCAAGGCCAUGGUGCUCAACUUCUUGAAACAGUUCAUAGAUACUACACUGAAUUUCCUACAGUUCUUGAUAUUACAGCGGAAGAUCCAUCCAAAAGCUAUGUAAAAUUACGAGACUUUGUGCUUGUGAAGCUUUGUCAAGAUUUGCCCUGUUUUUCCCGGGAAAAAUUAAUGCAAGGAUUCAAUGAAGAUAUGGCGAUAGAGGCACAACAGAAGUUCAAAAUAAAUAAGCAACAUGCUAGAAGAGUUUAUGAAAUUCUUCGACUACUGGUAACUGACAUGAGUGAUGCCGAACAAUACAGAAGCUAUAGACUGGAUAUUAAAAGAAGACUAAUUAGCCCAUAUAAGGUAGGACUUUCAAGAAUCUUAAACACUGUAUUCUUUUCACUGUUUAAAACAGAAGAAAAGCUACCAAAUGCCAGUAUAUGAGACAGUCCAAGUCAUUUUGUAAAAUUAACUUUUACAAAAGUAGAAAUAUUCUUCCAGUAAUUUAUAAAAAUUCUCACUCAUGGCCAGGCGUGGUGGCCCACACCUGUAAUCCCAGCACUUAGGGAGGCCAAGGCGGGUGGAUCACCUCAGGUCAGAAGUUCAAGACCAGCCUGGCCAACGUGGUGAAACCCUGUCUCUACUAAAAAUACAAAAAUUAGCCAGGCUUGGUGGUGGGCGCCUGUAAUCCCAGUGACUUGGGAGGCUGAAGCAGGAGAAUCGCUUGAACCCGGGAGGUGGAGGUUGCUGUGAGCCAAGAUUGCACCAUUGCACUCCAGCCUGGGUGACAAGAGCAAAACUCCGUCUGAAAAAAAAAAAAAAAAAAAAAGAAAAAAAACCCGGGUGCAGUGGCUCACGCCUGUAAUCCCAGCACUGUGGGAGGCCGAGGUAAGUGGAUCACUUGAGGUCAGGAGUUCAAGACCACCCUGGGCAACAUGGCGAAACCCCAUCUCUACUAAAAAUACAAAAAUUAGUUGGGCAUGAUAACACGUGCCUGUAAUCCCAGCUGUUUGAGAGGCUGAGGCAUGAGAAUCACUUGAACCCAAGAGGUGGAGGUUGCAGUGAGCUGAGAUUGUGCCACUGCACUUCAGCCUGGGCGACAGAAUGAAACUGUGUCUCAGAACAAACAAACAAACAAACAAACUUAUCCCAAGGAUAGUCUACCAUGGUUAGCUUUUCUUUCAUUUGCAUGCAUCUUUAAAAAAUCUGAAUGCCUAGUCUCUUCCCUAACAAAUUAUCUUGUUUUUCCCAAGUUUCUUGUCUUCUCAGUUGUUAUAUAUAUAUUCUCUUUUUUCUCUCUUCCCAGAUAAAAGCAAAGUUUUAUAUAUAUAUAUAUUCUCUUUGCUUUUGCUUUCUUCUUCCUAAAAAUAGCCUUUGUUGCUAUUUAUUAAUAUAAUCUCUGUACUUUACCAUAGCCGAAACCAUGUUAGUACUAUUAUAUUUUUAAACAUUCUUCUUGCCCUUUUUUCUCACUUCUUUGUCAUCUUCCAUAUCCCUCCUAGAUCAAAUUGGCCUUAUCAUUUGGACAUUGUCAGGAUGGAUAUUGUUUAUGCCACCUUAUGUGAAUGAAAAUUUGCUAUCUAGGCCAGGUGUGGUGGCUCAUGCCUGUAAUCCCAGCACUUUGGGGGGCCGAGGUGGGCAGGUCACCAGAGCUCAGGAGUUCAAGACCAGCCUGGCCAACAUGGCAAAACCUCGCCUCUACUAAAAGUACAAAAAUUAGUUGGGUGUGGUGGUGGGUACCUGUAAUCCCAGCUACUUGGGAGGCUGAGGCAAGGACAUCAUUGAACUCGGGAGGCAGAGGUUGCAGUGAGCUGAGAUCACACCACUGCAAUCCAGGCUGGGCAACGGAGCAAGACUCCAUCUC
This 3618-nucleotide small RNA is filed under the name Pongo abelii (Sumatran orangutan). Its description in RNAcentral is "retained intron". The record is from RNAcentral. Lineage: Eukaryota; Metazoa; Chordata; Mammalia; Primates; Hominidae.